GACGAACGCUGGCGGCGUGCUUAACACAUGCAAGUCGAGCGAGGCCCACCUUUCGGGGUGGUGUCCUAGCGGCGAACGGGUGAGUAACACGUGGGCAACCUGCCCUCAGCUCUGGGAUAACUCCAAGAAAUUGGGGCUAAUACCGGAUAUGACCGCUGACCGCAUGGUCUGGUGGUGGAAAGAUUUAUCGGCUGGGGAUGGGCCCGCGGCCUAUCAGCUUGUUGGUGGGGUAGUGGCCUACCAAGGCGACGACGGGUAGCCGGCCUGAGAGGGUGACCGGCCACACUGGGACUGAGACACGGCCCAGACUCCUACGGGAGGCAGCAGUGGGGAAUAUUGCGCAAUGGGCGAAAGCCUGACGCAGCGACGCCGCGUGGGGAUGACGGCCU
This 389-nucleotide ribosomal RNA is filed under the name uncultured bacterium. Its description in RNAcentral is "bacterial SSU rRNA". It matches the Rfam family "Bacterial small subunit ribosomal RNA", at positions 28 to 417 of the family's 1533-position model. The record is from RNAcentral.